UAUAAAUUAGUGGCAGACGGGUGAGUAAUGUAUAGGAAUCUACCUAGUAGUACGGAAUAAUUGUUGGAAACGACAACUAAUACCGUAUACGCCCUACGGGGGAAAAAUUUAUUGCUAUUAGAUGAGCCUAUAUUAGAUUAGCUAGUUGGUGGGGUAAUAGCCUACCAAGGUAAUGAUCUAUAGCUGAUCUGAGAGGAUGAUCAGCCACACUGGAACUGAGAUACGGUCCAGACUCCUACGGGAGGCAGCAGUGGGGAAUAUUGGACAAUGGGCGAAAGCCUGAUCCAGCCAUGCCGCAGAGUGAAGAAGGCCUUUGGGUUGUAAAGCUCUUUUAGUGAGGAAGAUAAUGACGGUACUCACAGAAGAAGUCCUGGCUAACUCCGUGCCAGCAGCCGCGGUAAUACGGAGAGGGCUAGCGUUAUUCGGAAUUAUUGGGCGUAAAGGGCGCGUAGGCUGGUUAAUAAGUUAAAAGUGAAAUCCCGAGGCUUAACCUUGGAAUUGCUUUUAAAACUAUAAUCUAGAGAUUGAAAGAGGAUAGGGGAAUUCCUGAUGUAGAGGUAAAAUUCGUAAAUAUUAGGAGGAACACCAGUGGCGAAGGCGUCUAUCUGGUUCAAAUCUGACGCUGAAGCGCGAAGGCGUGGGGAGCAAACAGGAUUAGAUACCCUGGUAGUCCACGCUGUAAACGAUGAAUGUUAAAUAUGGGGAGUUUACUUUCUGUAUUACAGCUAACGCGUUAAACAUUCCGCCUGGGGACUACGGUCGCAAGAUUAAAACUCAAAGGAAUUGACGGGGACCCGCACAAGCGGUGGAGCAUGUGGUUAAUUCGAUGCAACGC
RNAcentral lists this ribosomal RNA (835 nucleotides) under Wolbachia pipientis. RNAcentral describes it as "bacterial SSU rRNA". It matches the Rfam family "Bacterial small subunit ribosomal RNA", at positions 86 to 962 of the family's 1533-position model. Lineage: Bacteria; Pseudomonadati; Pseudomonadota; Alphaproteobacteria; Rickettsiales; Anaplasmataceae. The record is from RNAcentral.